Molecule: ribosomal RNA, 274 nt
Filed under: uncultured bacterium
Lineage: Bacteria
Description: partial 16S ribosomal RNA
Rfam family: Bacterial small subunit ribosomal RNA
Source: RNAcentral
AUACAGAGGGUGCGAGCGUUAAUGGGAAUUACUGGGCGUAAAGCGCGCGUAGGCGGUCUAUUAAGUCAGAUGAGAAAUCCCAGGGCUCAACCUUGGAACUGCAUCUGAUACUGGUAGGCUAGAGUUUUGGAGAGGGAAGUAGAAUUUCAGGUGUAGCGGUGAAAUGCAUAGAGAUCUGAAGGAAUACCAGUGGCGAAGGCGACUUCCUGGCCAAAAACUGACGCUGAGGUGCGAAAGCGUGGGUAGCAAACGGGAUUAGAAACCCUAGUAGUCC